AUGCUUACAGCCAGAUUCCUCCUUGGUAGUUGAAAGUGACCCUAAUAUCAUAGUAGAUGCAUCCUGUGAGUUGCAUUUAAUUGUCACCCUGUUUGCCCCUUGUAUGACUCUAUUAGCAAAACCCAUGAGGAGUCAAGUGGGGCUUAUCCUUUGCAGUCAGUAAGUAAUUAGCAAAUGUAAGAAUAAGGCAGAGGUGAAACAAACAAACAAAAAAACACAGGGUUCCCAGAGUUUCAAUAGGUCAUGCUAGGGAUUUCUAACUCACAUUUUGUUCUCUACCACUCUCUAGGAGGGUUUCUUUGCUCCUUAAGCCUCGGAAACUGCUAAGCAGAAUAAGAGAUUCUGUUUGGAGAUCUUAUCUUCUUGCCUCCUUUUUGGGUGUCCCUUUUUUCUUCUCUCUCACCAGCCUGGCAUUCCUCCUCCAUACCUCUUAAGUGCCAGAUUCUGUCAUCCUGGAUGGAGUGCAAAAGCUACAGUGUAAUCUCACAUUCUUUCAGGGCCACUGACCAGAGGAAACACAAGCUAGCCCGACCAGCCUCUCCUGAUGCUGACCAGCCAAUGGCCCUGCAGUUUCCUCUGUGUUUAGAAUUCCUUAUCUGGCAUUGCUAGCAAAUGCUCAAGCCCACAAGUCAACUAGAAGCUUAUCUGUAGGGCUGGAGCUUCAAAGAGAUAGCCAUACACUGUUCCUUGGGGUCAGAGGCUCUGUGACAGUGUGAGAUGGGAGGCUUUUGGGAUCAGUCAAUUUAACACGGGUAACACAACUCAUUCACUUCUUUUGUUUUGAAACAGGGUUCAUUGCUUUCACUUUUCUCAUUUGAGGAACACCUCUUGGUAUAUUAGUACAAGAAAAGUGGGGACAAUUUAACAGGAAGUGGAAAGAACACAUUCCCUAAAGACUGUUGUUACUGGCUUUUCUAUAUGAAUGUUGGCCAGCCAUUGUUUCAUAUUUGUUACUAUGUUAUUAUUAUUUUGGUGUUGCUGGGAUUCU
RNAcentral lists this long non-coding RNA (988 nucleotides) under Mus caroli (Ryukyu mouse). RNAcentral describes it as "lncRNA (MGP_CAROLIEiJ_G0034611.1)". The record is from RNAcentral. Lineage: Eukaryota; Metazoa; Chordata; Mammalia; Rodentia; Muridae.